AUCCCAUGAUGCAGACAUCUUCUAAGUAGUUCUUUAAACUUCUCCCAAGCUUCAUACAAGGACUCACCAUCAUAUUAUGUGAAUGCGGUGAUAUCGUUCCUCAUCUU
RNAcentral lists this small nucleolar RNA (107 nucleotides) under Theobroma cacao (cacao). RNAcentral describes it as "Plant small nucleolar RNA R71". It matches the Rfam family "Plant small nucleolar RNA R71". From Rfam's summary of the family: R71 is a member of the C/D box family of snoRNAs containing the C (UGAUGA) and D (CUGA) box motifs. Multiple nearly identical copies of this snoRNA have been identified in Arabidopsis, and it is thought to function as a 2'-O-ribose methylation guide for 18S ribosomal RNA. Lineage: Eukaryota; Viridiplantae; Streptophyta; Magnoliopsida; Malvales; Malvaceae. The record is from Rfam by way of RNAcentral.